This 180-nucleotide non-coding RNA is filed under the name Desulfosporosinus sp. Lineage: Bacteria; Bacillati; Bacillota; Clostridia; Eubacteriales; Desulfitobacteriaceae. The record is from RNAcentral.
AGAAAAUUUGAGAUUACAGGUGCCUCAUUUAAGAGGAGAAUAAGGGAAGUCGGUGAAAGUCCGGCGCGGUCCCGCCACUGUAAACGGGGAGUAAGAAGUGUAACCACGGGGUAGUCCCGGAAGGUACUUCAGAUGUGAUGAUCCGUAAGCCAGGAGACCUGCCUGUAGUCAAGCUAAAAG